Molecule: transfer RNA, 114 nt
Filed under: Methanolacinia petrolearia DSM 11571
Lineage: Archaea; Methanobacteriati; Methanobacteriota; Methanomicrobia; Methanomicrobiales; Methanomicrobiaceae
Description: Methanoplanus petrolearius DSM 11571 tRNA
Rfam family: tRNA
About the family: Transfer RNA (tRNA) molecules are approximately 80 nucleotides in length. Their secondary structure includes four short double-helical elements and three loops (D, anti-codon, and T loops). Further hydrogen bonds mediate the characteristic L-shaped molecular structure. tRNAs have two regions of fundamental functional importance: the anti-codon, which is responsible for specific mRNA codon recognition, and the 3' end, to which the tRNAs corresponding amino acid is attached (by aminoacyl-tRNA synthetases). tRNAs cope with the degeneracy of the genetic code in two manners: having more than one tRNA (with a specific anti-codon) for a particular amino acid; and 'wobble' base-pairing, i.e. permitting non-standard base-pairing at the 3rd anti-codon position.
Source: Rfam by way of RNAcentral
GCUGUCGUGGCCUAGUCGGUUAGGGCGCCAGACUCAUAGGGUUUUGUAGCACAUUUCGGGGCGCUUGAUAUCUGAGAUAUCUGGAGGUCGCGGGUUCGGAUCCCGUCGACAGCA